AAAGACUUAUAUUUUGAAACGAAGGAAGUAUCCACCGUAUUCCAUAGUUGUGGGCCCGAUUAUUUCCUCUCAUGUGUGAUGAGAUGUGAUGUGACCCUCACCUUCCCAUUGUCCCUUCUCUCUUACUCUGCUUCUUUUAACAACACACAAGAAGCAGAGGAGAAGGAACUCCGCAUCAAUGGCGAAGAGGAGCAGGCGAAAGCCCAGCGGUGUCCAUGGAAUUCGGCCACAGCAGUGUCGAAACAAGUUGAAGAACAAGACAGAGAAUUUAUAAUGCUCACUGAUGUAUGGAGUACUACAUGUUUCCACAGAUUCUUUUUACAUUUUCUCAAAAGUUGCUUCGGUUUGUUUUUGGUCGUUCAAUCUGCAUAGAUAUGCAACGUUCAUAACAUGAUUUUUUUUAGACAAUCACCUCCUUAUAUAUUUUUAUGUUUCUGAACUGAAUUCCCGGUGCAGUUCGUACCAUUUAAACAUUGUUCCUUUUCUUAUACGAAAACCAAACUUUUACAUUUUCUCAAAUGUUGCUUUGGUUUGUUUUUGGUCGUUCAAUCUGCAUAAAUAUGCAACGUUUAUAUUUUUUAGACAAUCACCUCCUUAUAUAUUUUUAUGUUUCUGAACUGAAUUCCCGGUGCAGUUCGUACCAUUUAAACAUUGUUGCUUUUCUUAUACGAAAUCAAAACUGGGAAUCGAUUCAUGAUGAUAUAAAAGAAACCCAAAGCUGACUAUUUUUUGUUGUGACAUGCUAUUGUUGAAUAGUGCAGCCGAGUUCUUCUGCGCAUUCAAUAUAAAGGACCUUGACGUUAACGACAAACUUCAACUGAAAAUGAAAUUUGUUGACACCGUUCCUGAAUACAACGACGGCGAGAUGCAUCAAUCAUCUCCUGGAAAGAUAUCAUCCCCACUCUCGUACUGGAGAGCCGCAAAUAUAUUUGCAUUGUGGGUCUCCUGGAAAGAUAUCAUCCCCACUCUCGUACUGGAGAGCCGCAAAUAUAUAUGCAUUGUGGGUCUCCUGGAAAGAUAUGCAUUGUCCUCAC
RNAcentral lists this long non-coding RNA (1034 nucleotides) under Hordeum vulgare. Its description in RNAcentral is "long non-coding RNA (HVUL_LNC008586)". Lineage: Eukaryota; Viridiplantae; Streptophyta; Magnoliopsida; Poales; Poaceae. The record is from RNAcentral.